UGCAAACGUACACAUAUAGAGGAAAAACACAUGCAGAGUCUCAGUUCUAUAUGGAUAUAUACGUGUCUCACGGAUCUGCGGCCUGCGCGACACUUUGAUAGGACAUCCCGGAGAAUCAUCUGUUAUUUCAGUAAUUCCAACAAGAUGAGAACGCAGCAUAACUAAACAGUACAGAGUGAGAAAUAAGAGAUCUACAGCAGCUUUUUUCUGUUUGGACAAGCCAUAUGAUGUGACCCCUCAUGUGAUCUCAUGAGAAGAAAAUGACCAUUUAAGAGACAUAACAUCAGGUCACAACCUUUAGGGGUCAUGGGUACCUUGAGGUGAAACACUCCUACUUUCUCCAUUGGGAAGACUACACGAG
Myxocyprinus asiaticus (Chinese sucker) is the source of this 361-nucleotide long non-coding RNA. RefSeq lists it as uncharacterized. The record is from RefSeq and is a predicted model, not a curated record. NCBI's taxonomy places the organism in Eukaryota, Metazoa, Chordata, Actinopteri, Cypriniformes, Catostomidae. The transcript is spliced from 3 exons.